GGUUGAGUAGUGUAGGGGUUAUCACUUCAGAUUCUGAUUCUGGAAACCCCGGUUCGAUUCGUGAGUACCACCG
Molecule: non-coding RNA, 73 nt
Organism: Pseudocercospora fijiensis CIRAD86
Lineage: Eukaryota; Fungi; Ascomycota; Dothideomycetes; Mycosphaerellales; Mycosphaerellaceae
Source: the annotation of a RefSeq genome assembly